Molecule: small nucleolar RNA, 107 nt
Organism: Lathyrus oleraceus (garden pea)
Lineage: Eukaryota; Viridiplantae; Streptophyta; Magnoliopsida; Fabales; Fabaceae
Source: RefSeq, a predicted model, not a curated record
AGCCCACUAAAAUGGCAUAGUCUUAAUAAAUCUUUAUAACACUCACAUACGUCAAACAAGGACUCCCCAUCUUUUUGCCUAAAAUUAUUAAUAUCAUUCCUAACUUU